UGGGGAAUUUUGGACAAUGGGCGAAAGCCUGAUCCAGCAAUGCCGCGUGUGUGAAGAAGGCCUUCGGGUUGUAAAGCACUUUUGUCCGGGAAAGAAAUCCUUGGCUCUAAUACAGUCGGGGGAUGACGGUACCGGAAGAAUAAGCACCGGCUAACUACGUGCCAGCAGCCGCGGUAAUACGUAGGGUGCAAGCGUUAAUCGGAAUUACUGGGCGUAAAGCGUGCGCAGGCGGUUUGCUAAGACCGAUGUGAAAUCCCCGGGCUCAACCUGGGAACUGCAUUGGUGACUGGCAGGCUAGAGUAUGGCAGAGGGGGGUUAGAAUUCCACGUGUAGCAGUGAAAUGCGUAGAGAUGUGGAGGAAUACCGAUGGCGAAGGCAGCCCCU
RNAcentral lists this ribosomal RNA (384 nucleotides) under uncultured bacterium. RNAcentral's name for it is "partial 16S ribosomal RNA". It matches the Rfam family "Bacterial small subunit ribosomal RNA", at positions 355 to 729 of the family's 1533-position model. The record is from RNAcentral.